RNAcentral lists this ribosomal RNA (232 nucleotides) under uncultured bacterium. RNAcentral's name for it is "partial 16S ribosomal RNA". It matches the Rfam family "Bacterial small subunit ribosomal RNA", at positions 15 to 245 of the family's 1533-position model. The record is from RNAcentral.
GAUCCUGGCUCAGGACGAACGCUGGCGGCGCGCCUAGCACAUGCAAGUCGAACGGUGAAGAGGAGCUUGCUCCUCGGAUCAGUGGCGGACGGGUGAGUAACACGUGAGCAACCUGGCUCUAAGAGGGGGACAACAGUUGGAAACGACUGCUAAUACCGCAUAACGUAUCGGGAUGGCAUCUUCCUGAUACCAAAGAUUUUAUCGCUUAGAGAUGGGCUCGCGUCUGAUUAGA